This is a long non-coding RNA of Amblyraja radiata (thorny skate), 130 nucleotides long. RefSeq lists it as uncharacterized. The transcript is spliced from 3 exons. Lineage: Eukaryota; Metazoa; Chordata; Chondrichthyes; Rajiformes; Rajidae. The record is from RefSeq and is a predicted model, not a curated record.
UGUCCCACUCUCACGAGUCACUCACGAAUUCUCCCGAGUUUUCCCCUUAAUUCAAACUCCCAGAAUGUUCGUAAUGAGUCUGUAGGAGUUCGUAAGAGUCCGUAGAUGUUUCAUAGCGGCUCGUAAUGCC